RNA transcript from Chelonus insularis, 2107 nucleotides. It is a transcript of the gene named ATP-dependent RNA helicase p62-like, with no coding region annotated. NCBI's taxonomy places the organism in Eukaryota, Metazoa, Arthropoda, Insecta, Hymenoptera, Braconidae. The transcript is spliced from 7 exons. The record is from RefSeq and is a predicted model, not a curated record.
AGAUACUUGAAAAGCUACUGCGCAUAUUGAUCGUCCCCACCAUUGAUUUUUGAGGGAAUGACAUACUUCCGGCAACUCCAAGCGUUCUUUCCGUCCCUAACAGCGGCACGGAAAUCUUUGCCGCUUAAUUACAUCCAUAAGUCAAUUGAACCGUUUUUCAUCCUAAGGGACUGUAAAGCAUACCACACCAUUUCGAACAUGACUUACAGUGGAGGAUCAUCCGGUGGAUACCGUAAUGGUGCAUCUGGAAAAUCAGGUAGCCAGCGUUCAGCUUCAUCUUCAAGAAACGGCUAUGGCGGCGGCGGCAAUAAUAGGAGUGGUGGGUAUGGAGGUGGAAGCCGUACAACCAAUGGAAACGCAGGCAAUGGAAGUCGAUUCGGUAACCGAGCGAACAAUGCGUCUAACGGUAUUGCUGGUGGAAAUCUGAAGAAACCUAACUGGGAUCAUGAAAGUCUUAAGCCUUUUAAAAAAGACUUCUAUAUUCCACAUCAAAGUGUUUCUCAAAGAAAUUUUCGAGAUGUUGAGCAAUUCAGACAAGUAAAACAAAUUACGCUAAAAGGAGAAAAGGUUCCAAAUCCAAUUCAACACUUUAAUGAGAGUAAUUUCCCUGAUUAUGUAAUGGAAAGUUUAAAGAAACAAGGUUUCUCAGAACCAACUGCAAUUCAAGCUCAAGGAUGGCCCAUUGCUAUGUCUGGACGUAACAUGGUGGGAAUCGCUCAGACUGGAUCUGGCAAAACACUAGCCUACAUUUUACCUGCAAUCGUUCACAUCAAUAGUCAACAACCAUUGAAUCGUGGAGAUGGUCCUAUUGCAUUAGUUCUCGCACCAACCAGAGAACUCGCUCAACAAAUCCAAACUGUUGCUAAUGAAUUUGGAUCCUUGUCUUAUGUAAGAAACACAUGUAUAUUUGGUGGUGCCCCUAAAGGAAGCCAAGCACGAGAUUUAGAACGAGGUGUUGAAAUCGUAAUUGCUACUCCUGGAAGACUUAUUGAUUUCCUUGAAAGGGGAACCACGAAUUUAAGGCGAUGCACUUAUCUAGUUCUUGAUGAAGCUGAUCGCAUGUUAGACAUGGGUUUCGAACCUCAAAUUAGAAAAAUUAUUGAACAAAUCAGACCUGAUAGACAAGUCCUCAUGUGGUCUGCAACGUGGCCCAAAGAAGUCAGAAAUCUUGCUGAAGAAUAUCUUGUUGACUACACUCAAUUAAACAUUGGAUCUUUAUCUUUGUCUGCCAAUCACAAUAUUCUUCAAAUUAUUGAUGUUUGUCAAGAACAUGAAAAAGAAGCAAAAUUGGGUACUUUACUUCAAGAAAUUGGCAAUGUUAAUGAUGACGGUGGUAAAACAAUUAUAUUUGUUGAAACAAAAAAGAAAGUUGAAAGUAUUACAAGAAAUAUCAGACGAUACGGUUGGCCUGCAGUGUGUAUGCAUGGAGAUAAAUCACAACAAGAACGUGACUACGUACUCAGAGAAUUCAGAAAUAAAAAAGGAUCCAUUCUCGUAGCAACAGAUGUUGCUGCUCGUGGACUCGAGGCACAUGGUGCACAGAUUCUGUUGAGUGUGCGAUGAACUAAAAUAAGUCGAACGACAUGAACCAUGGCUCACUCACUGUCUGUGCUCUUGAAAAAGACUAUAUAUAAUAAGUGAUAUAUAGCAAUGUACAUGCGUAUAUUUCGCGUGCGUUUAGCAUGUACUUAAUGUGCCUCUGUGUAUGGCCUGUGUACCACGUAAGUAGAAAGGUGGUGCUCGGGUAUAAUCGCGCUGAUUGGCUGUGGAAUUAAGGCUCUGGUUAUUGCACGUACAACUCGCCAUAGUCAAUAUAUUCAGCCGGUGCGAGACAACAAUCUAUUGAUUUUGCUACAAUCGCUAAUCGGGAAUAUAUUCCCGGGACAGUCAACUGAACUUGCAUUCAACAUACCAUCUUCAAGAGUACUCUUAACGCUCUCAUCGAAUGCAAAGUUCAGCGGUUUUGUGAUGUUGACGAUGUGAAGUACGUGAUCAACUUUGAUUAUCCAUCAUCAUCAGAAGAUUAUAUUCAUAGAAUUGGAAGAACGGGACGAUCACAGUCGACUGGAACAAGUUACGCAUUUUUCACACCACAAAACAGUCGACA